GACCCUGUUGAGCUUGACUCUAGUUUGACAUUGUGAAAAGACAUAGGGGGUGUAGAAUAGGUGGGAGCUUCGGCGCCGGUGAAAUACCACUACCCUUAUCGUUUUUUUACUUAAUCAAUUAAGCGGAACUGGGCUUCAUCGCCCAUUUUCUAGCGUUAAGGUCCUUCGCGGGCCGAUCCGGGUUGAUGACAUUGUCAGGUGGGGAGUUUGGAUGGGGCCGCACAUCUGAAAAAC
RNAcentral lists this ribosomal RNA (234 nucleotides) under Crustomastix stigmatica. Its description in RNAcentral is "partial Eukaryotic large subunit ribosomal RNA". It matches the Rfam family "Eukaryotic large subunit ribosomal RNA", at positions 2409 to 2647 of the family's 3401-position model. The record is from RNAcentral. Lineage: Eukaryota; Viridiplantae; Chlorophyta; Mamiellophyceae; Dolichomastigales; Crustomastigaceae.